Molecule: ribosomal RNA, 762 nt
Filed under: uncultured Streptococcus sp.
Lineage: Bacteria; Bacillati; Bacillota; Bacilli; Lactobacillales; Streptococcaceae
Description: bacterial SSU rRNA
Rfam family: Bacterial small subunit ribosomal RNA
Source: RNAcentral
GACGAACGCGGCGGCGUGCUAAUACAUGCAAGUAGAACGCUGAAGAGAGGAGCUUGCUCUUCUGGAUGAGUUGCGAACGGGUGAGUAACGCGUAGGUAACCUGCCUUGUAGCGGGGGAUAACUAUUGGAAACGAUAGCUAAUACCGCAUAACAAUGAGUGACACAUGUCAUUUAUUUGAAAGGGGCAAUUGCUCCACUACAAGAUGGACCUGCGUUGUAUUAGCUAGUAGGUGAGGUAACGGCUCACCUAGGCGACGAUACAUAGCCGACCUGAGAGGGUGAUCGGCCACACUGGGACUGAGACACGGCCCAGACUCCUACGGGAGGCAGCAGUAGGGAAUCUUCGGCAAUGGGGGCAACCCUGACCGAGCAACGCCGCGUGAGUGAAGAAGGUUUUCGGAUCGUAAAGCUCUGUUGUAAGUCAAGAACGAGUGUGAGAGUGGAAAGUUCACACUGUGACGGUAGCUUACCAGAAAGGGACGGCUAACUACGUGCCAGCAGCCGCGGUAAUACGUAGGUCCCGAGCGUUGUCCGGAUUUAUUGGGCGUAAAGCGAGCGCAGGCGGUUUGAUAAGUCUGAAGUUAAAGGCUGUGGCUCAACCAUAGUUCGCUUUGGAAACUGUCAAACUUGAGUGCAGAAGGGGAGAGUGGAAUUCCAUGUGUAGCGGUGAAAUGCGUAGAUAUAUGGAGGAACACCGGUGGCGAAAGCGGCUCUCUGGUCUGUAACUGACGCUGAGGCUCGAAAGCGUGGGGAGCGAACAGG